UCUAACACAUAAAGCCCCAAAUGAUUUUUUGCAAACCCUAAACCUAAGACAACAAGCAGCCCCAACUCCCCUCUCUCGAACUCACCGGGACUUGCCGGAAAACUCAGCAAACCGGCCGAGUUCACUCAUGGUCCCCUCCCCUCUUCUCUCCUUCUUCCACGUCACUCAUUCCGUACAAAUUUCAUCAUUUCCAUCCGAUUCGAGCGGAUUUCUUUUGUUUUAACAAAAAAUCUAAGCCCUUAAAAUAAAUGUUUGAAAAUGGGAGCCAUUGGAUUAAAAUUUUGAUCCAAGACUUUCAUUUUCUGAUUUUUGUUAAAAAUUAAGAUUUUCGGAUUUGAUUUUGGGGGAACACACGGGCGUUUCUUGGAGAAGAGGAGAAGAAGAUUUGAGAGGGCUAUAUAUAUUGAGAAUUUCGGAGAGAAAUGGAGAAAAAUGAGAGAGAAGGACUCGGGAGAGAGGAAAAUCAAAGAAAAACUAGGGUUCUUGGGUUUUUGGCUCUCUUCUCAAUUUUUCUGUAAAUUGGCAUUCCAAAACAAAUAAAAAUUCAAAAUAUUUUUAUUUUCAUUUUUGUUUGAGUCUUCGUUGCAUUUCGAAAAAAACAGAAAAUUCCAAAAAAAAAACAUUUAGUUUCUUCAUUUGGUUUUGGUUUCAAUAUGGAGAUCGAUUGACCCCAGGUCGAGUUCGCCGUUCAAGUUGUGGUUCGUGUUCGCAUUCCCUGAAUUGGUUCCCUGCUCUGUUGCGUCGUUGCUGAUUCUGAAUUUUCAGUAGCUGUAUGUGUUCUCAAGUUCGUCACCAAAUCUUCUUCUGUUGUGAUCGAUUCUUGCAGAAUUAAUCAAAAGCUUAAUUUCCAGUUUCGUCUUCAUCGUCUUACUCUGUUAAUGAUGGUUUGAAAUAUGAUUAGAAGUCUGAAUUUGCUUGACAUAUUUUGGAGAUAAAUAAUCAAAUUUGGGCGUUAACAGAGAUAACCUCGUGAUUUUCAUAUAGUAUUAAGUUUGGAUUAAGUUACACCAUUUGUGUUCUGUUUUGCUUUGGUAUUUGAAUGUCUUGCAGUUUCGAUUCUGCCAUGUCCUAGCAUUUCGAGGUGUAGUUCAAUUUGAUCCUUUGGUACUUGAUUUGGUAUGUGUGACUGUUUGAAAUAUUAGUGUUUAAUCGUUUUGAGUUCUACACGAUAAAUACGAAAACCAUAGGAUUUACUGUGUUAGUUUAUUUGUUGACAAAGAUC
RNAcentral lists this long non-coding RNA (1222 nucleotides) under Nicotiana benthamiana. RNAcentral describes it as "long non-coding RNA (NBEN_LNC030275)". Lineage: Eukaryota; Viridiplantae; Streptophyta; Magnoliopsida; Solanales; Solanaceae. The record is from RNAcentral.